CAGUAGCCGCGGGAAUACGGAGGGUGCAAGCGUUAAUCGGAAUUACUGGGCGUAAAGCGCACGCAGGCGGUCUGACAAGUCAGAUGUGAAAUCCCCGGGCUUAACCUGGGAACUGCAUUUGAAACUGUCAGGCUGGAGUCUUGUAGAGGGGGGUGGAAUUCCAGGUGUAGCGGUGAAAUGCGUAGAGAUCUGGAGGAAUACCGGUGGCGAAGGCGGCCCCCUGGACAAAGACUGACGCUCAGGUGCGAAAGCGUGGGGAGCAAACAGGAUUAGAUACCCGCGUAGUCCCUGUCUCUUAUAC
This 301-nucleotide ribosomal RNA is filed under the name uncultured bacterium. Its description in RNAcentral is "partial 16S ribosomal RNA". It matches the Rfam family "Bacterial small subunit ribosomal RNA", at positions 509 to 807 of the family's 1533-position model. The record is from RNAcentral.